GCCCAAAUGAUGGAAUGUAGGCAGACAUGGAGUUCUCAAACAACUCUGCGAAAGCGUAUGGGUUCGAAUCCCAUUUUGGGCA
This 82-nucleotide transfer RNA is filed under the name Siphoviridae sp. ctGa111. Its description in RNAcentral is "tRNA-Leu". It matches the Rfam family "tRNA". Rfam says of the family: Transfer RNA (tRNA) molecules are approximately 80 nucleotides in length. Their secondary structure includes four short double-helical elements and three loops (D, anti-codon, and T loops). RNAcentral also lists the same sequence under 1 other name. The record is from RNAcentral. Lineage: Duplodnaviria; Heunggongvirae; Uroviricota; Caudoviricetes.